AGAGUUUGAUCCUGGCUCAGGGUGAACGCUGGCGGCGCGCUUAAUGCAUGCAAGUCGAACGUGCCUUCGGGCAAGUGGCAGACGGCUGAGUAACGCGUGAGUAACGUGCCCUCCGGUGGGGUAUAGCCUCGGGAAACUGAGAGUAAUCCCGCAUACGAUCCGGUGGCCUUGGUUGCCGGAUGAAAGCCUUCGGGCGCCGGAGGAGCGGCUCGCGUCCUAUCAGGUAGUUGGUGGGGUAAAAGCCCACCAAGCCGAUGACGGGUAGCUGGUCUGAGAGGACGAUCAGCCAGAGGGGGACUGAGACACGGCCCCCACUCCUACGGGAGGCAGCAGCAGGGAAUUUUGGGCAAUGGGCGAAAGCCUGACCCAGCGACGUCGCGUGAGGGAAGAAGGCCUUAGGGCUGUAAACCUCUUUUCCCGGGGAAGAGAAAGGACGGUACCCGGGGAAUAAGCUCCGGCUAACUACGUGCCAGCAGCCGCGGUAAUACGUAGGGAGCAAGCGUUACCCGGAAUUACUGGGCGUAAAGAGCGCGUAGGCGGCUUGGCUAGUCUCUUGUGAAAGCUCCCGGCUCAACUGGGAGAGGUCAAGGGAUACUGCCUCGCUUGAGGGCGGUAGAGGAAAGCGGAAUUCCCGGUGUAGCGGCGAAAUGCGUAGAUAUCGGGAGGAACACCAGUGGCGAAGGCGGCUUUCUGGGCCGUGCCUGACGCUGAGGCGCGAGAGCGUGGGGAGCAAACUGGAUUAGAUACCCAGGUAGUCCACGCCCUAAACGAUGAAUGCUAGGUACAGGGGGUAUCGACCCCUCCUGUGCCGAAGCUAACGCGAUAAGCAUUCCGCCUGGGGAGUACGGCCGCAAGGCUAAAACUCAAAGGAAUUGACGGGGGCCCGCACAAGCGGUGGAGCGUGUGGUUUAAUUCGAUGCUAAGCGAAGAACCUUACCAGGGCUUGACAUGCUGGUAGUAAGAACCCGAAAGGGUGAUGAUCCGGGGGUAACUCCGGAAGCCUUCACAGGUGCUGCAUGGCUGUCGUCAGCUCGUG
This 1036-nucleotide ribosomal RNA is filed under the name uncultured bacterium. Its description in RNAcentral is "bacterial SSU rRNA". It matches the Rfam family "Bacterial small subunit ribosomal RNA", at positions 8 to 1064 of the family's 1533-position model. The record is from RNAcentral.